GCUUGCUUCUCUGAUGUUAGCGGCGGACGGGUGAGUAACACGUGGAUAACCUACCUAUAAGACUGGGAUAACUUCGGGAAACCGGAGCUAAUACCGGAUAAUAUUUUGAACCGCAUGGUUCAAAAGUGAAAGACGGUCUUGCUGUCACUUAUAGAUGGAUCCGCGCUGCAUUAGCUAGUUGGUAAGGUAACGGCUUACCAAGGCAACGAUGCAUAGCCGACCUGAGAGGGUGAUCGCCACACUGGAACUGAACACGGUCCAGACUCCUACGGGAGGCAGCAGUAGGGAAUCUUCCGCAAUGGGCGAAAGCCUGACGGAGCAACGCCGCGUGAGUGAUGAAGGUCUUCGGAUCGUAAAACUCUGUUAUUAGGGAAGAACAUAUGUGUAAGUAACUGUGCACAUCUUGACGGUACCUAAUCAGAAAGCCACGGCUAACUACGUGCCAGCAGCCGCGGUAAUACGUAGGUGGCAAGCGUUAUCCGGAAUUAUUGGGCGUAAAGCGCGCGUAGGCGGUUUUUUAAGUCUGAUGUGAAAGCCCACGGCUCAACCGUGGAGGGUCAUUGGAAACUGGAAAACUUGAGUGCAGAAGAGGAAAGUGGAAUUCCAUGUGUAGCGGUGAAAUGCGCAGAGAUAUGGAGGAACACCAGUGGCGAAGGCGACUUUCUGGUCUGUAACUGACGCUGAUGUGCGAAAGCGUGGGGAUCAAACAGGAUUAGAUACCCUGGUAGUCCACGCCGUAAACGAUGAGUGCUAAGUGUUAGGGGGUUUCCGCCCCUUAGUGCUGCAGCUAACGCAUUAAGCACUCCGCCUGGGGAGUACGACCGCAAGGUUGAAACUCAAAGGAAUUGACGGGGACCCGCACAAGCGGUGGAGCAUGUGGUUUAAUUCGAAGCAACGCGAAGAACCUUACCAAAUCUUGACAUCCUUUGACAACUCUAGAGAUAGAGCCUUCCCCUUCGGGGGACAAAGUGACAGGUGGUGCAUGGUUGUCGUCAGCUCGUGUCGUGAGAUGUUGGGUUAAGUCCCGCAACGAGCGCAACCCUUAAGCUUAGUUGCCAUCAUUAAGUUGGGCACUCUAAGUUGACUGCCGGUGACAAACCGGAGAAGGGGGGGAUGACGUCAAAUCAUCAUGCCCCUUAUGAUUUGGGCUACACACGUGCUACAAUGGACAAUACAAAGGGCAGCGAAACCGCGAGGUCAAGCAAAUCCCAUAAAGUUGUUCUCAGUUCGGAUUGUAGUCUGCAACUCGACUACAUGAAGCUGGAAUCGCUAGUAAUCGUAGAUCAGCAUGCUACGGUGAAUACGUUCCCGGGUCUUGUACACACCGCCCGUCACACCACGAGAGUUUGUAACACCCGAAGCCGGUGGAGUAACC
This 1375-nucleotide ribosomal RNA is filed under the name Staphylococcus aureus. RNAcentral describes it as "bacterial SSU rRNA". It matches the Rfam family "Bacterial small subunit ribosomal RNA", at positions 78 to 1440 of the family's 1533-position model. Lineage: Bacteria; Bacillati; Bacillota; Bacilli; Caryophanales; Staphylococcaceae. The record is from RNAcentral.